RNAcentral lists this ribosomal RNA (255 nucleotides) under uncultured bacterium. RNAcentral's name for it is "partial 16S ribosomal RNA". It matches the Rfam family "Bacterial small subunit ribosomal RNA", at positions 15 to 236 of the family's 1533-position model. The record is from RNAcentral.
GAUCCUGGCUCAGGACGAACGCUGGCGGCGUGCUUAACACAUGCAAGUCGAACGGACCUUAAAAAACAGAUCUUUUCGGAGUGAAGUUUUUGUAGGUUAGUGGCGGACGGGUGAGUAAUGCGUGGAUAAUCUACCCUGGUUUCUGGGACAACAGCUGGAAACGGCUGCUAAUACCGGAUACGCUCCUAGAGAGGCAUCUCUUUAGGAGGAAAGGAGGCCUCUUAACAAUGCUCCCGAACCGGGAUGAGUCCGCGU